This 115-nucleotide ribosomal RNA is filed under the name Pteropus alecto (black flying fox). The record is from RNAcentral. Lineage: Eukaryota; Metazoa; Chordata; Mammalia; Chiroptera; Pteropodidae.
GUCUACGGCCAUGCCACCCUGAACAAGCCCGAUGUUGAUCACGGAUGCUGAGCAGGGUCGGGCCUGGUUAGUACUUGGAUGGGAGACCAAUUAGGAAGAAUAGCUGCCAUAGGUG